Molecule: ribosomal RNA, 1696 nt
Filed under: Salmonella enterica
Lineage: Bacteria; Pseudomonadati; Pseudomonadota; Gammaproteobacteria; Enterobacterales; Enterobacteriaceae
Also listed under: 1 other name
Description: partial 23S ribosomal RNA
Rfam family: Bacterial large subunit ribosomal RNA
Source: RNAcentral
UUAAAGAAAGCGUAAUAGCUCACUGGUCGAGUCGGCCUGCGCGGAAGAUGUAACGGGGCUAAACCAUGCACCGAAGCUGCGGCAGCGACACUGUGUGUUGUUGGGUAGGGGAGCGUUCUGUAAGCCUGUGAAGGUGUGUCGUGAGGCAUGCUGGAGGUAUCAGAAGUGCGAAUGCUGACAUAAGUAACGAUAAAGCGGGUGAAAAGCCCGCUCGCCGGAAGACCAAGGGUUCCUGUCCAACGUUAAUCGGGGCAGGGUGAGUCGACCCCUAAGGCGAGGCCGAAAGGCGUAGUCGAUGGGAAACGGGUUAAUAUUCCCGUACUUGGUGUUACUGCGAAGGGGGGACGGAGAAGGCUAUGUUGGCCGGGCGACGGUUGUCCCGGUUUAAGCGUGUAGGUGUGUGUUCCAGGUAAAUCCGGUUCACUUUAACACUGAGGCGUGACGACGAGGCACUACGGUGCUGAAGCAACAAAUGCCCUGCUUCCAGGAAAAGCCUCUAAGCAUCAGGUAACAUCAAAUCGUACCCCAAACCGACACAGGUGGUCAGGUAGAGAAUACCAAGGCGCUUGAGAGAACUCGGGUGAAGGAACUAGGCAAAAUGGUGCCGUAACUUCGGGAGAAGGCACGCUGACACGUAGGUGAAGUGAUUUACUCAUGGAGCUGAAGUCAGUCGAAGAUACCAGCUGGCUGCAACUGUUUAUUAAAAACACAGCACUGUGCAAACACGAAAGUGGACGUAUACGGUGUGACGCCUGCCCGGUGCCGGAAGGUUAAUUGAUGGGGUCAGCGCAAGCGAAGCUCCUGAUCGAAGCCCCGGUAAACGGCGGCCGUAACUAUAACGGUCCUAAGGUAGCGAAAUUCCUUGUCGGGUAAGUUCCGACCUGCACGAAUGGCGUAAUGAUGGCCAGGCUGUCUCCACCCGAGACUCAGUGAAAUUGAACUCGCUGUGAAGAUGCAGUGUACCCGCGGCAAGACGGAAAGACCCCGUGAACCUUUACUAUAGCUUGACACUGAACAUUGAGCCUUGAUGUGUAGGAUAGGUGGGAGGCUUUGAAGUGUGGACGCCAGUCUGCAUGGAGCCGACCUUGAAAUACCACCCUUUAAUGUUUGAUGUUCUAACGUGGACCCGUUACCCGGGUUGCGGACAGUGUCUGGUGGGUAGUUUGACUGGGGCGGUCUCCUCCUAAAGAGUAACGGAGGAGCACGAAGGUUGGCUAAUCCUGGUCGGACAUCAGGAGGUUAGUGCAAUGGCAUAAGCCAGCUUGACUGCGAGCGUGACGGCGCGAGCAGGUGCGAAAGCAGGUCAUAGUGAUCCGGUGGUUCUGAAUGGAAGGGCCAUCGCUCAACGGAUAAAAGGUACUCCGGGGAUAACAGGCUGAUACCGCCCAAGAGUUCAUAUCGACGGCGGUGUUUGGCACCUCGAUGUCGGCUCAUCACAUCCUGGGGCUGAAGUAGGUCCCAAGGGUAUGGCUGUUCGCCAUUUAAAGUGGUACGCGAGCUGGGUUUAGAACGUCGUGAGACAGUUCGGUCCCUAUCUGCCGUGGGCGCUGGAGAACUGAGGGGGGCUGCUCCUAGUACGAGAGGACCGGAGUGGACGCAUCACUGGUGUUCGGGUUGUCAUGCCAAUGGCACUGCCCGGUAGCUAAAUGCGGAAGAGAUAAGUGCUGAAAGCAUCUAAGCACGAAACUUGCCCCGA